GGAAAGGUGCCAGAGUGGCUGAAUGGGCUCCCCUGCUAAGGGAGUGGUCCGAUUUCGGGCCCACGAGUUCGAAUCUCGUCCUUUCCGCCA
RNAcentral lists this transfer RNA (90 nucleotides) under Candidatus Peribacteria bacterium. Its description in RNAcentral is "tRNA-Ser". It matches the Rfam family "tRNA". Rfam says of the family: Transfer RNA (tRNA) molecules are approximately 80 nucleotides in length. Their secondary structure includes four short double-helical elements and three loops (D, anti-codon, and T loops). Further hydrogen bonds mediate the characteristic L-shaped molecular structure. tRNAs have two regions of fundamental functional importance: the anti-codon, which is responsible for specific mRNA codon recognition, and the 3' end, to which the tRNAs corresponding amino acid is attached (by aminoacyl-tRNA synthetases). tRNAs cope with the degeneracy of the genetic code in two manners: having more than one tRNA (with a specific anti-codon) for a particular amino acid; and 'wobble' base-pairing, i.e. permitting non-standard base-pairing at the 3rd anti-codon position. Lineage: Bacteria; Candidatus Peregrinibacteriota; Candidatus Peribacteria. The record is from RNAcentral.